GGGCCAUAGGAUCAGUGGUAGAGCAUCUGCUCUGCAUGCAGAAGGCCCAAGGUUCAAUCCCCCGCAUCUCCA
Podarcis lilfordi (Lilford's wall lizard) is the source of this 72-nucleotide non-coding RNA. The record is from the annotation of a GenBank genome assembly. Lineage: Eukaryota; Metazoa; Chordata; Lepidosauria; Squamata; Lacertidae.